GGCCGCGCCGGGCCGAGGCCGCGCAGCCUCCCGCGCCUCCCCGGGUCGCGGAUGCCGCGGGCGCCUCUGGGGGAAGCUCCGGGCGGCGCGCUCGCCGGAUGCUAAACUACCGGCGGACUGCAGAGGAGAGGGGUCCCGUCUUCUCCUGAUGUGUGAGUAACCCCCACCGCGCGCUGUCUUUGCUCUUCCACCCUCUCCCUUCCCCCGCCGCCAGUCCCCUGAUUUUCCCACCCCCUUUUUGCGCAGUUAAAAAAAAAAAAAGUAAAGCAAUUUCUGCGGGGAGCCCAGGACGGGCUAGCCGCCCGAGAUCUCUUCAAGAUACCCCAGGGGAGGAGGAGGAGGAGAUGGGCUGGAUUUAGUAGGACAACUCGGUUACUAAUGACUCCGCGGCUGGCUGCGACCCGCCGGGAAAUCAGGUGCAAGCGUGUGUUCCGGGACGCGUGUGUGGGUGGGCUGCGGGGGAGGGGAGGAGAGCAGAAAGCGCUUUGAAAAACGCAGUGAUUUCAUUCUGCCGUGCUGUCCACACUCCCCGCAUUCUUCCUCCGUCCCACUCCGCCCCCUCGCUUUGCCAUUUUAAUCGGGCUUCCGUGUUUCUUUCUCCCCCGCAUCCCGCUCUCUCCUGCCCCCCUCCCCAAGGUUUGCCUGUAGGUACCUGAGCUGACACCGACGGUGCCUAAAGAUGCUGAGCGGCGUUUGGUUCCUCAGUGUGUUAACCGUGGCCGGGAUCUUACAGACCGAGAGUCGCAAAACUGCCAAAGACAUUUGCAAGAUCCGCUGCCUGUGCGAAGAGAAGGAAAACGUACUGAAUAUUAACUGCGAAAACAAAGGAUUUACAACUGUCAGCCUGCUCCAGCCCCCCCAGUAUCGAAUCUAUCAGCUUUUCCUCAAUGGCAACCUCCUGACGAGACUGUACCCCAACGAGUUCGUCAAUUACUCCAACGCGGUUACUCUCCACCUGGGUAACAACGGGCUGCAGGAGAUCCGAACCGGGGCGUUCAGCGGCCUGAAAACCCUCAAGAGGCUGCACCUCAACAACAACAAGCUCGAAGUACUGAGGGAGGACACCUUCCUGGGCCUCGAGAGCCUCGAGUACCUCCAGGCCGACUACAAUUACAUCAGUGCCAUCGAGGCGGGGGCCUUCAGCAAACUGAACAAGCUCAAAGUGCUCAUCCUGAAUGACAACCUUCUGCUGUCUCUGCCCAGCAAUGUGUUCCGCUUCGUCCUGCUGACCCACUUAGACCUGCGAGGGAACCGGCUGAAAGUGAUGCCUUUUGCCGGCGUCCUCGAGCAUAUCGGAGGCAUCAUGGAGAUUCAGCUGGAGGAAAACCCGUGGAAUUGCACUUGUGACUUACUUCCUCUCAAGGCUUGGCUGGACACCAUAACUGUUUUUGUGGGGGAGAUUGUCUGUGAAACUCCCUUCAGAUUGCAUGGGAAAGAUGUGACCCAGCUGACCAGGCAAGACCUCUGUCCCAGAAAAAGUACCGGUGACUCCGGUCAGAGGGGCGGCCACGCUGACACACAUGUCCAAAGGCUGUCACCUACAAUGAAUCCGGCUCUCAACCCAACCAGGGCUGCAAAAGCGAGCCGGCCACCCAAAAUGAGAAAUCGCCCAACUCCCCGGGUCACAGUGUCGAAAGACAGGCAGAGCUUUGGACCCAUCAUGGUGUACCAGACCAAGUCCCCGGUGCCCCUCACCUGCCCCAGUAGCUGUGUCUGCACCUCUCAGAGUUCGGACAAUGGUCUAAAUGUCAACUGCCAAGAAAGGAAGUUCACUAAUAUCUCCGACCUGCAGCCUAAACCUACCAGUCCAAAGAAACUCUACCUAACAGGGAACUAUCUUCAAACCGUCUAUAAGAACGACCUCUUAGAAUACAGUUCUUUGGAUCUAUUGCAUUUAGGAAACAAUAGGAUUGCAGUCAUUCAGGAAGGUGCCUUCACAAACCUGACCAGUUUACGCAGACUUUAUCUGAAUGGCAAUUACCUUGAAGUGCUAUAUCCGGCUAUGUUUGAUGGACUGCAGAGCUUGCAGUAUCUCUAUUUAGAGUAUAAUGUCAUUAAGGAAAUUAAGCCGCUGACCUUUGAUGCUUUGAUUAACCUACAGCUACUGUUUCUGAAUAACAACCUGCUGCGGUCCUUACCCGAUAAUAUAUUUGGGGGCACGGCCCUCACCAGGCUGAAUCUGAGAAACAACCACUUUUCUCACCUGCCUGUGAAAGGGGUUCUGGAUCAGCUUCCGGCUUUUAUCCAGAUAGAUCUGCAAGAGAACCCGUGGGACUGCACCUGUGACAUCAUGGGACUAAAGGACUGGACAGAGCAUGCCAACUCCCCUGUCAUCAUCAAUGAGGUGACCUGUGAAUCUCCCGCUAAGCACGCUGGGGAGAUCCUGAAGUUUCUGGGCAGGGAGGCUAUUUGUCCAGACGGUCCAAACUUGUCAGAUGGAACCAUUUUGUCAAUGAAUCACAACACAGACACACCUCGCUCACUUAGUGUGUCUCCCAGUUCCUAUCCUGAACUACACACUGAAGUUCCACUUUCUGUCCUAAUUUUAGGAUUGCUGGUUGUCUUUAUCUUAUCUGUCUGCUUUGGGGCUGGCCUAUUCGUCUUUGUCCUGAAACGCCGAAAGGGAGUGCCAAGUGUUCCCAGGAGUGCCAACAACUUAGAUGUAAGUUCCUUCCAGUUACAGUAUGGGUCUUAUAACACUGAGACUCAGGAUAAAGCAGACGGCCACGUCUAUAACUACAUCCCCCCACCUGUGGGUCAGAUGUGCCAAAACCCCAUCUACAUGCAGAAGGAAGGAGACCCAGUGGCCUAUUACCGAAACCUGCAAGAAUUCAGUUACAGCAACCUGGAGGAGAAGAAAGAAGAGCCAGCCACACUUGCUUACACUAUAAGUGCCACCGAGUUGCUAGAAAAGCAAGCCACCCCAAGAGAGCCCGAGCUGCUGUAUCAGAAUAUCGCUGAGCGCGUCAAGGAACUCCCCAGUGCAGGACUCGUCCACUAUAACUUUUGUACCUUACCUAAAAGGCAGUUCGCCCCUUCGUAUGAAUCUCGACGCCAAAACCAAGACAGAAUCAAUAAAACCGUUUUAUAUGGAACUCCCAGGAAAUGCUUUGUGGGGCAGUCAAAACCAGACCACCCUUUACUGCAAGCUAAGCCGCAAUCAGAACCAGACUACCUCGAAGUUCUGGAAAAACAAACUGCAAUCAGUCAGCUGUGAAGGGAAAUCAUUUACAACCCUCUGGCAUCAAAGGAUGCUGCUCCAAACUGUUGGAAGCACUGCAUUUGCUUUCGUGUGUGUUUGUGUUCUCCCUUUCCCAGCCUCAAUGGGGGACUUUGAAGAUGUUUGGGGGAUGGGGUGAAGCAAUGAUACUGCUUUUUCAAGUUUUCCUUUAAAUUAUUUCUCUCUUGCUCUCCUCCCUCCCCCACCUUUUUUUCCCUUCUCUCCUUAGGAAUCAUCAUUGAACAUGAAUGUUUCUACAGUGCAUUUUUUUCAUAUAUUUUGUUUAUGGUUUUGUUUCCUUUUUCUUCUUUUAUUUUUCCAGUGUGGGAAUGGGAAGAGGAGAUUAUAGUGAAUGAAGAAAGAAUUGAAAUUGAAAAUGGUGGGCUGAAAUGAUCUACAGGAAAGUUAAUGUACAGAGACUUUACAUUUCAUAGAAGAGGAGCAAGAGUAUUUUACCAGUUGAACUUGGAGAUAGCUUCUGGAAACCACCUCCUCUUAUAUAUGUAAGAGUUUCAAAAAUUCUCUCGUGGCUGCUCUCAUUUGGUGCAAUGAUAAAUGCAGAAUACAGAGGUAGGUAUUUGGGGAAAUGAUUAUGAAGGCAAAUUAGUAUACAUAUUCUAUUAAGAUAGUUUUUUGGUUGACAUUCUAUCACUAGAACUACUGAUGUGGUGAUUCCACUUCAGUGUUCGUAUUCUCCUGAAAAUAAAGUCAUUCCUGUAAAACACCAUUAUCCAUAGAAAAACUAAUUCAUUAAUUGUAAGCAGAGAUAGCUUACUGUUCAUUUAGUUACCAGACUCUAAAGAGGCCUCCUGGAAGAACUCAGAUUCAUAAACUCUUUUGCUUAAUAACUAUGGUUUAAUUUUAGAUUCUCAUGCUUCUUAGAUAUUUACUUUAUUCUGUAUUAGGUUUUAAGAUGAAAUUGUUUGAAUGUGUCCAGACUAUUUCAUUUAAAGGCAUAAUACAUCAUAUACUGUGAAGCUUUGUUUUUUAAUGCAAUCACAAACACUUUAAUUUGAUUAACUUAUUAGCAUCCCCACUGACUAUGUUGUUUUGCUUUACCCACUGAAGUGCUUUCAAACAUAUAAGAUUUUUAUUUUUAUCUCCUACAGCUGGAUUUUGCUAUUUCACUUUUAUUUCACAUGCAGCUUGUAAUGGGUAUGAACAUCAGCACAGUGAAAUGGUUCCAGCCAACAGAAUACGAUUUCCCCUGGCCCUGCCUGGAACAGAUCUAUAUGUCUGGCAAAUGUUUCGUGUGACUUGAGCUAUGGGGCGAUUUUAUGAUGGCGCAGUAACAUUCCUGAGCAGUCUGAGUAGCCAACCCAUUUCAACUCCAUUGAACACAGGACUCUUCUGCUCAGCAGCGUCUCCUCUGUCAGACGUGGCCAUGAUUCGUUAGAGGGUAGAGUGACUCCUGUAUUCAGAUCCUAUAAAGCGCUUAGAGUCACAGGUUUUAUAAUAAAUAUAUGGUAUUAUGUAAACAAAUUAAACUGCAUGUGUGUUGGAAUUUUUUAGCAGUAUUUUAGCUUGAAAGUACUUGUACAAAUACCGUUAGAUUUAGUUGCAAAUAAUUGUUCUCAAGUUAUUGGAAUAAAUGGCAAAUGAAACGAGCUCUCGUGUAAAUAGACUUCUGUGCCAAAUAGUGACAUUGUUUCAAAACAUGAAUGCCAUAUUUUGGGCUGUUAAUAGGCAAAAUGAAAUAUUGAAAAUGUGGUCAAAUGAUAUUAUGUCUUA
This is an RNA transcript of Lagenorhynchus albirostris (white-beaked dolphin), 4951 nucleotides long. It is a transcript of the gene named SLIT and NTRK like family member 2, with no coding region annotated. The transcript has 4 exons. Lineage: Eukaryota; Metazoa; Chordata; Mammalia; Artiodactyla; Delphinidae. The record is from RefSeq and is a predicted model, not a curated record.